Molecule: ribosomal RNA, 254 nt
Filed under: uncultured bacterium
Lineage: Bacteria
Description: partial 16S ribosomal RNA
Rfam family: Bacterial small subunit ribosomal RNA
Source: RNAcentral
UACGUAGGGGGCGAGCGUUGUCCGGAUUCAUUGGGCGUAAAGCGCUUUAAGGCGGUUCGCUAAGUCGGGUGUGAAACCUCCAGGCUCAACCUGGAGACGCCACUCGAUACUGGCGUGACUAGAGUUCGGUAGGGGACCACGGAAUUCCUGGUGUAGCGGUGAAAUGCGCAGAUAUCAGGAGGAAUACCGAUGGCGAAGGCAGCUCGCUGGGACUGUACUGACGCUGAGGCGCGAAAGCGUGGGGAGCGAACAGG